This 477-nucleotide ribosomal RNA is filed under the name uncultured organism. RNAcentral describes it as "partial 16S ribosomal RNA". It matches the Rfam family "Bacterial small subunit ribosomal RNA", at positions 332 to 800 of the family's 1533-position model. The record is from RNAcentral.
UACACUCCUGCGGGAGGCAGCAGUGGGGAAUAUUGCACAAUGGGCGCAAGCCUGAUGCAGCCAUGCCGCGUGUAUGAAGAAGGCCUUCGGGUUGUAAAGUACUUUCAGCGGGGAGGAAGGCAAUACGGUUAAUAACCGUGUUGAUUGACGUUACCCGCAGAAGAAGCACCGGCUAACUCCGUGCCAGCAGCCGCGGUAAUACGGAGGGUGCAAGCGUUAAUCGGAAUUACUGGGCGUAAAGCGCACGCAGGCGGUCUGUCAAGUCGGAUGUGAAAUCCCCGGGCUCAACCUGGGAACUGCAUGCGAAACUGGCAGGCUUGAGUCUUGUAGAGGGGGGUAGAAUUCCAGGUGUAGCGGUGAAAUGCGUAGAGAUCUGGAGGAAUACCGGUGGCGAAGGCGGCCCCCUGGACAAAGACUGACGCUCAGGUGCGAAAGCGUGGGGAGCAAACAGGAUUAGAUACCCUUGUAGUCCCAUGA